RNAcentral lists this ribosomal RNA (253 nucleotides) under uncultured bacterium. RNAcentral describes it as "partial 16S ribosomal RNA". It matches the Rfam family "Bacterial small subunit ribosomal RNA", at positions 524 to 776 of the family's 1533-position model. The record is from RNAcentral.
UACAGAGGGGGCAAGCGUUGUUCGGAAUUACUGGGCGUAAAGGGCGCGUAGGCGGCCUGUUAAGUCGAACGUGAAAUCCCCGGGCUCAACCCGGGAACUGCGUCCGAUACUGGCAGGCUUGAAUUCGGGAGAGGGAUGUGGAAUUCCAGGGGUAGCGGUGAAAUGCGUAGAUAUCUGGAGGAACACCGGUGGCGAAGGCGGCAUCCUGGACCGAUAUUGACGCUGAUGCGCGAAAGCCAGGGGAGCAAACGGG